AGUCAAGUAAUUAAGUGCAUGUGGUGGAUGCCUUGGCAGUCAGAGGCGAUGAAAGACGUGAUAGCCUGCGAAAAGCUCCGGGGAGGCGGCAAAUAUCCUUUGAUCCGGAGAUGUCUGAAUGGGGGAACCCACCUACUUUAAGGUAGGUAUUGCAACAUGAAUACAUAGUGUUGCAAGGCGAACGAGGGGAAGUGAAACAUCUCAGUACCCUUAGGAAAAGAAAUCAAUUGAGAUUCCCUCAGUAGCGGCGAGCGAACGGGGAUCAGCCCAUUAAGUUAUGUGUGUUUUAGUGGAACGCUCUGGGAAGUGCGAACGUAGAGGGUGAUAUUCCCGUACACGAAAGGGCACACAUAAUGAUGACGAGUAGGGCGAGGCACGUGAAACCUUGUCUGAAUAUGGGGGGACCAUCCUCCAAGGCUAAAUACUCCUGACUGACCGAUAGUGAACCAGUACCGUGAGGGAAAGGCGAAAAGAACCCCUGUGAGGGGAGUGAAAUAGAUCCUGAAACCGCAUGCAUACAAGCAGUGGGAGCACCUUCGUGGUGUGACUGCGUACCUUUUGUAUAAUGGGUCAGCGACUUAUAUUCAGUAGCAGGUUAACCGUAUAGGGGAGCCGUAGAGAAAUCGAGUCUUAAUAGGGCGUUUAGUUGCUGGGUAUAGACCCGAAACCAGGCGAUCUAUCCAUGAGCAGGUUGAAGGUUGGGUAACACUAACUGGAGGACCGAACCCACUGUCGUUGAAAAGCCAGGGGAUGACUUGUGGAUAGGGGUGAAAGGCUAAUCAAGCCUGGUGAUAGCUGGUUCUCCCCGAAAGCUAUUUAGGUAGCGCCUCGGACGAAUACCAUAGGGGGUAGAGCACUGUUUCGGCUAGGGGGUCAUCCCGACUUACCAAACCGAUGCAAACUCCGAAUACCUAUGAGUACUAUCCGGGAGACAGACUGCGGGUGCUAACGUCCGUAGUCAAGAGGAAAACAAUCCAGACCGCCAGCUAAGGCCCCAAAAUCAUAGUUAAGUGGGAAACGAUGUGGGAAGGCAUAGACAGCUAGGAGGUUGGCUUAGAAGCAGCCACCCUUUAAAGAAAGCGUAAUAGCUCACUAGUCGAGUCGGCCUGCGCGGAAGAUGUAACGGGGCUAAAACUAUGUGCCGAAGCUGCGGAUGUAUACUUUGUAUAGUGGUAGGGGAGCGUUCUGUAAGCCGAUGAAGGUGUGUUGAGAAGCAUGCUGGAGGUAUCAGAAGUGCGAAUGCUGACGUGAGUAACGACAAAACGGGUGAAAAACCCGUUCGCCGAAAGACCAAGGGUUCCAGUCCAACGUUAAUCGGGGCUGGGUGAGUCGACCCCUAAGGCGAGGCCGAAAGGCGUAGUCGAUGGGAAAAUGGUUAAUAUUCCAUUACUUCUGUGUAAUGCGAUGAGAGGACGGAGAAGGCUAAAUCAGCCUGGCGUUGGUUGUCCAGGUGAAAGGAUGUAGGCAUGUAUCUUAGGCAAAUCCGGGGUACUCUAUGCUGAGAUCUGAUAGCAAGCUGUACUUGUACAGCGAAGUGGUUGAUGCCAUGCUUCCAGGAAAAGUCUCUAAGCUUCAGUUACACAGGAAUCGUACCCGAAACCGACACAGGUGGUCAGGUCGAGUAGACCAAGGCGCUUGAGAGAACUCUGCUGAAGGAACUAGGCAAAAUGGUACCGUAACUUCGGGAGAAGGUACGCUGUUGUUGGUGAUGGAACUCGCUUCCUGAGCUGACGACAGCCGCAGAAACCAGGCCGCUGCAACUGUUUAUUAAAAACAUAGCACUCUGCAAACACGAAAGUGGACGUAUAGGGUGUGAUGCCUGCCCGGUGCUGGAAGGUUAAUUGAUGGGGUUAGCGUAAGCGAAGCUCUUGAUCGAAGCCCCAGUAAACGGCGGCCGUAACUAUAACGGUCCUAAGGUAGCGAAAUUCCUUGUCGGGUAAGUUCCGACCUGCACGAAUGGCAUAAUGAUGGCGGCGCUGUCUCCAGCAGAGGCUCAGUGAAAUCGAAAUCGCUGUGAAGAUGCAGUGUACCCGCGGCUAGACGGAAAGACCCCGUGAACCUUUACUGCAGCUUGACACUGAACUUUGACCUUACUUGUGUAGGAUAGGUGGGAGGCUUUGAAGCUGGAACGCUAGUUCCAGUGGAGCCGUCCUUGAAAUACCACCCUGGUAAUGUUGAGGUUCUAACUCUGUCCCGUGAUCCGGGACGAGGACCGUGUCUGGUGGGUAGUUUGACUGGGGCGGUCUCCUCCUAAAGAGUAACGGAGGAGUACGAAGGUGCGCUCAGCGUGGUCGGAAAUCACGCGUAGAGUAUAAAGGCAAAAGCGCGCUUAACUGCGAGACCCACAAGUCGAGCAGGUACGAAAGUAGGUCUUAGUGAUCCGGUGGUUCUGUAUGGAAGGGCCAUCGCUCAACGGAUAAAAGGUACUCUGGGGAUAACAGGCUGAUACCGCCCAAGAGUUCAUAUCGACGGCGGUGUUUGGCACCUCGAUGUCGGCUCAUCUCAUCCUGGGGCUGAAGCAGGUCCCAAGGGUAUGGCUGUUCGCCAUUUAAAGAGGUACGCGAGCUGGGUUUAGAACGUCGUGAGACAGUUCGGUCCCUAUCUACCGUGGGCGCUGGAAAUUUGAGAGGAUCUGCUCCUAGUACGAGAGGACCAGAGUGGACGAACCUCUGGUGUACCGGUUGUGACGCCAGUCGCAUCGCCGGGUAGCUAUGUUCGGAAGGGAUAACCGCUGAAAGCAUCUAAGCGGGAAGCCUACCUCAAGAUAAGAUUUCCCUAGGACUUUAUGUCCUCUAAAGAGCCGUUCGAGACUAGGACGUUGAUAGGUUGGAUGUGGAAGCAUAGUGAUAUGUGAAGCUGACCAAUACUAAUUGCUCGUGAGGCUUGACUAU
RNAcentral lists this ribosomal RNA (2891 nucleotides) under Acinetobacter baumannii. Its description in RNAcentral is "23S ribosomal RNA". It matches the Rfam family "Bacterial large subunit ribosomal RNA". Lineage: Bacteria; Pseudomonadati; Pseudomonadota; Gammaproteobacteria; Moraxellales; Moraxellaceae. The record is from RNAcentral.